Molecule: long non-coding RNA, 33086 nt
Filed under: Vitis vinifera (wine grape)
Lineage: Eukaryota; Viridiplantae; Streptophyta; Magnoliopsida; Vitales; Vitaceae
Description: long non-coding RNA (VVIN_LNC002041)
Source: RNAcentral
CAAACCCUAACCCUAGUCCUAAUUCGACCUUUCUCUCUCAGCAGAGCCACCCCGAGCAGUAUCCGGCGGUUCAGGAUCCCACUGCAAUGCGUCAGCAUCAGGGAACCGGCCUCUCCGGAGAUGGAGGCGAGGAUGAAUCAUUUUCUUCUUCUCCAAAUCAUCACACUGUUCAAAGCCCUAAUUCUAAUCUUCGUGAAGUUGUAUCUUAUUCGACAUCCUCUAUACCGUCUCUUCUCCAUAUUUCCUUCAAUCAGGACCACGGUUGCUUCGCCGCGGGCACGGAUAACGGCUUCCGGAUCUAUAAUUGCGACCCGUUCCGCGAGAUUUUCCGGCGAGACUUCGACCGCGGCGGAGGAAUUGGCGUCGUGGAGAUGCUAUUCCGGUGCAACAUCCUGGCCCUGGUUGGCGGCGGACCUGAGCCGCAGUAUCCGCUCAACAAAGUCAUGAUUUGGGAUGAUCACCAAAGCCGGUGCAUUGGAGAGCUGUCAUUCCGAUCGGAGGUCCGAGCAGUUAAGCUCCGGCGGGACCGUAUCAUAGUGGUCUUGGAACAGAAGAUUUUCUUGUACAACUUCGCGGACUUGAAGCUGUUACAUCAGAUUGAGACGAUUGCAAAUCCCAGGGGGCUUUGCGCGGUUUCGCAGCUCACUGCGUCGCUUGUGUUGGUGUGUCCAGGGUUGCAGAAGGGGCAGGUCAGGGUCGAGCAUUACGCUUCGAGGAGGACCAAGUUCUUCGCGGCCCAUGAUUCUAGACUUGCGUGUUUCGCGCUCACUACGGACGGCCAAUUGCUCGCCACUGCAAGCACCAAAGGAACUCUGGUUAGAAUUUUCAAUACUUCCGAUGGCACACGGCUGCAAGAGGUACAUUAUAUGCCCUUUUUCAGUUCUGCGCUUUGAGGAGUGAACUUGAAAUUUUGAUGAUUCUGUAAAUGGGCCAUAGGCUAUUGAUAUUUUGAUGUUUCUCUAUUAGGGUUAUUAUAAAAGUAGUAUUCCCAAUUUCCCGAUUUUAGGUUUCUUGUUGAAAUAGAUUGUGAAGUAUAAUUCAUUUAGCCAUGUCCCUUCUUUUUCCUCUACUUCUUGUGGAGACCACAGCAGGCACAGUUGACGUACAACCUCAAUUUGGAUAGCUGUUGUUGUUAGCAAACAGUUCAAAGUGUGACUGGUUUUUGUAGUUAUCAUGCUAGGAUCACCUUCAAUCUCAAUUGAGAACAACGGAAAAUGUCUUCACACAAUAAUAACCUGCCGUGUAAGUAUCGAUUGAAGGUUAAUCCUUUCUGGGAUUCAUAGCCAUAAAUGAAGCUUGAAUAGUACUCUGCGUUGCAAGAAACAAGUAUAAAUGAACUUCCUUUGUCUACUUGUGGAUUAAUCUAAUGAACCAAUUUUUCUGAACUGCAGAGGAGCUCUUGUUUAUGUUAGAAACUCAUAUUACUUGCUAUUCGAUACUUAUUCUACCAUUCAUCUUUCUGCAAGAAUUUGACAUGUAUCAUAGAUUUAAAUUAAUUGAAUAUCUAAUGUAGGUGCGGCGGGGAGCAGAUAGAGCUGAGGUUUACAGUAUGGCAUUCUCUUCAACUGCCCAGUGGCUAGCAGUAUCAAGUGACAAGGGCACUGUCCAUGUUUUUGGGCUUAAGGUUAACUCAGGAUCCUUAGGAAAUGACAAGUCCCAUGGUGCAUCUGAUGCCAAUCUUGCUGUUGCAUCAUCCGGCUUAUCUCUUUCUUUCAUCAAGGGUAAGGUGCCUUUUCUAGAAUAUGACUUGAGGCUGACCAUUUUUCUUGAUUUUGAAUAAACAGGUCAAUUGAGUUAUAAAUAUGUGAGGUUGGGAGGCUAAUUAUACCGACUCAAGCAAAAUGCCAAACUCUAUUAAAUGGGUUGCACAAGGCUGUAUGAUAAUUAGGUUGUGUUUAAUUUCAUUGUUUUAACCUAAUUAUCAUUCAUGUCAUGUUUUUCUUAUGUCGAAUAACUAGUUUUGACACAACAUGAACAUGAUCUAGUAACACGAAUUGACACCCCUGGCUAUUAUGUGAAUAUGCAUACGCAAAGUUAAAAUAGGCUUCACUGCUUGAUCUCCAUGGUUCCAAGACCACAUAUUGGAUGGAACUUUAAUAAUACAGUUUUGUUUUUGAUAAGCAAAACUGUAUUAUCAUCGGGCCUUGUAUGUGUACUCUUGAAUGCAACUGUAUCCACUUCUCUCCUUUUGAAUGCAACUGCUUUCUCUUGGUUCCUGUUACUGGAUGGUGCUUACUAGAGUAUCAACUAAUGGAAGUGAAGAAUAGGAGAGAUUAGGCCAUGGGGUUCAGGAUUCUAUUUAUUUAUUUAUCAGUUUUUGGAUAAUCAUCAUGGGCAUGUCUAUUGCGUUUCUUAUUGAACAGAAGCUUUGAAGUUCUAUCCUUUUGAUUCUAAUUCUGACUAGGUUUUCAUGUGCAGGAGUGCUGCCCAAGUAUUUCAGCUCUGAGUGGUCGGUUGCUCAGUUCCGCCUUCAUGAGGGUUCUCAGUAUAUUGUUGCAUUUGGUCAUCAGAAGAACACAGUGGUAAUUCUGGGAAUGGAUGGAAGGUAAGAGAUAUUCUUAACAGAAGUUUGUGAGAAGAGUUGAUCUGAAAUGGAAUCAUGAUAAGCAAUUGAAUUGAAUUUGAAUGCAGCUUCUAUAGAUGUCAGUUCGAUCCUGUGACUGGGGGAGAGAUGACACAGCUGGAGUAUCACAACUUCCUUAAACCAGAAGAAGCUUUCUAAUGGAGAUCUAGGAUAUUAUCUGCAUGCCCAAUUUCCUAGCUAUAUAUGACAUCCCUCUCUCUCUGGGUCUUUGUGCCCUUUGUCCCCUUUUCCCCUUCUAGGUGUGGCCUAUGGGUCCAUUAUGGUGUAAAUAUACGAGUAUAGAUAGGUCAAAGUUUAAGACUAAUUUACCAUUAACAAGGAAAAAUGAAAUUUAAUGAAAAAAAAAAAAAAGAAGAGAGAUUAGUACUCAUUUUUCAUACUUGUCUUCAUAUUUGCCAUUGUGUGGACGGGUUUAUUUGGACAACCUUUUUUUAUAAUUUAGAUUACCAACCUUCCUUAUUUAAUAUCAACCAAAAAAAUAUUUUAUACAAUAUUCUUUAUAAAAAACGAGACUUUUCUAUAAUCUUGAGGCAAAUUCCAUUAUACCAUAAAUGGAAUUUGCCUAUUUAUCAUGCCUAUAUCUAUGAAUGAGAAAAAUCAUUUCAUUAUACCAUAAAAUCAAAUGCAAUUAUCAAAACACCUAAUGUUUCUCCACUUCUUAUAUCCACCGUAAACUAUGAGCCUCCUACUCUACUUGGUAUAUCUUUAUCCAAUUUAAAUAGUUUUUAAAUAUUAAUCUUUAUUCCAUAAUUUUUUCCUCCCCUAACCUAAAAUAUUUAUAAUGAUAUUCUUAACAAUUUUUUUAUUAUAUAUAAUAAAAUCUAAUAUUACAAUAAUAUAUUAAAAGUCCUCACUCCAUCACAAUACUUAAUUUUUUUCUAAGCAAUUAAUUCUCUAUUCUUUCGAUUUUUUUGCUUUUAACUACCAUUGGGCAAUUACAUUUUUAAAUAUAAAUUUCAAAGUACACGUUUAUUAGAAUCCUGUUAAGAAAUACAAAACAUGUUGUGGACCCCGCGUUUCGAUCUAUCUCAAUGCGUUUCCCACUCAAUGGCGAGCUCGAUUUUUAUUUUAUUAGAAAAAAUGAUUUUUAUCGAUUAAGAAAAUGACUUGGAGUCGCCACUUAUUUUUGUUUUAUUAUUAAAGGGUAAACAAAAUAAGAAAGAAAAACCCUAAGUGUGACUCCUUAUUUUGGAAAAGGCGGUCUGUGAAAAACCGGAUCGGGUUCGGGGGUCAGGUUACUUCUCGGGAAGGUAUGGUAAAGACCGUAGCACCCCUCUAAGUCCCUAAAGUCGGGUCUCUACUAAUAAAAUGAAGCUGACAUGACAACCAAUGAGAAAGUCAAUGAAUACCUAGGACGAAUCAUGCACAUACGAGAAUUAAAACAUGCAAAUAAAAUGAUUAGGAUGCGAGUGGAUGUGUACCUGGACCGUGAACGAUCAAUGCGCUAUCAUAAAACAGGGUUAGUGAGCAAUGAACAAAAUAUAAUUAAGCGCAUAACAUGGAACAAAAUAAAUCAAACACGCACGAUAAGUAAAUCAAUCAAACAAUCAAUCAAUCGUCAAUUCACAUAUGUGGGGCCCCCACCAAAGCCCGUUUAUUUUUGCAUGAAUUAAUUCCAUAAUUUCCAUUAUUCGGAGUUACAGAAUUGAAUCUAUGCUUAUUUUUAAAACAUUUUAAAAGAUCAUGAAAGAUUUAAAAAAAUUGCUUGCCGAAUAGAAAAUGGAAGCAAAUUUUAUUAAAAAGAGAUUUCAAGUGAUUCUAAAAAAAAACCUAAAGGUGAAAAUUAAAAAUAAAUAAAUAAAUAAAUUAUUUGAUAAAAAUGGAGUUUGGAAAAUUAACAAAGAAACUAGAAAUCGGGAAAUUAUGUGGAAAAUGGGAGUUUUAGGACUUAAAAAUAAAUCUAAAGAUGAAAAUUCGAAAAGCAAAAAUUGUUUGAAGGAUUUGGAAAUUUGACAUUAUAAAAAAAAAACAAUUGGAGGGAUUAUUAAUAAAAUGAUGUUCAGGAAAAUUAAUUUGGAAAUCAUAGGAACAGGAAGUGGGUGAUAACACGUGGCUUCCGAUUUACUGCCAUUGCCACUAUACCCACCAUAGUCACCAAGCCCAUAGUCAAUGCCUCCAAGUGCUCGGUAGGAAAUAGGCCCAAAACACUAAGACGUGCCCCAGAGUUAGAGAAGAUGCUGGAGAGAUCUUUGAUCAAGCCACUUCACCAGAUUUAUGGCGAUAGAUCUUUCCGAAGACAUGAAGAACGGUGACAAAGCCGAUAAAGCAAAGGUUCAUCACGAGAACCACCGUUGGAGUAAUCUUCAAGCCCGGAUCGUCAUCGGUGUAGAACAAGAGCAUGUUGCUCUCGCUGCUGCCACUGCCGCACCCUCCGGAGCUCUGAAACGACAGUGCGUGUGAGGAGAUUGACAACGACGCCGUCGAAGACAACCGGUCUACAUAACCCUCCAACAAGCUUCGUCCUGAAGCUACUUCUGCCGCGGUGCUUUCCACAUGUCGUCCAUACAUCCAGUGACCCGAAUCAGCGCCACCUCGUCCUCAACUCCAACGCAGCUGAAUCUCACGCUGCUGUCCAGUUUGACCUGCGUCGGAAAGAACGACGUUGGGGGCCACGCAGGCAUCGACGGUGAUCUUCGGGAGCCACUGCCCCAGGGGAAUUAUCCUUCUCCGUCCUUUUUUUGAGCCUUCAACACUUUCUACAGCAAAAGUCUCCUCAACUUUUGAUGGCCCCCACAUGUACCAGUUGAGGCUAUUUUAUGAAUUUCNNNNNNNNNNNNNNNNNNNNNNNNNNNNNNNNNNNNNNNNNNNNNNNNNNNNNNNNNNNNNNNNNNNNNNNNNNNNNNNNNNNNNNNNNNNNNNNNNNNNAUUCAAAACAAGAUGUCCAAUACUCCAAAAGAACACCAAAAAAACAGAGAAGAAAGUGAAGAAAACAGAGUGCGUGCAAGAGAUGAUAAUACCAUUAAACCAAACUUUACUUCAUGAAGAUCGGAGAGCUUAAAACAAUCUGGUGGGUUAAGUGAAUGGUUUUAACACAUAAACAAACAACAUCGACACCAUGUGACUCACACAGGAAUAAACAAAAAUCAAGCAAGCAGGGAUGAAAACAUGCUUAAGAUCUUAAACAGUCAAAAUGAACAUUUCAAAUAUUAGGAAAGGAGUCAAAUAUGGUUGUGAAAAGGAAAAACCUGAAGUCGAAGACAACCAAAAUUUGGAUGACUCCUUUUCUCUCUGUGACUGAAAUCCCACCUUCUCGUUCUACUCCCUGAGCUGAGAACUCUCCUCUCAACUCCAAACUCACUCCAGACCAGCCUCUCUUCACUCUCCCCCUCCUCUCUGACUCUCUCUCUCUAGCUAAACUCCUCUAAGCCUUCCCUCCUCCUCAAAAUAUCUCUAACGGACUCUGAAAAGCACUCCCUACUCCAGCUGCCAGAGACGCUCCUCCAUUCACGGCUUCCAGAUUCCCAUGCAACGUGUCCCCUUUUGAUUGGCUUCCCAAACCACUAUUAUGAUUCUCUCAUGGCUUCUCAGGUGUUGACACGUGGCUGACCAAGGCUCUUCCACAUGGUAAAAUUGAGCUGCAAGGUAGGAAUGACCUAAAAGGGGGUCUACAAAUAUGCCCCUCUUCGGUAGAGUUCACGAGUGUAAAGAACAUGAACACUGGAGUGAAAAGUAAGUGUGAAUAGUGAGUGGAAUGAAGUGAACUCUACCGAAGAACCAAGGAGACCCCCAUAGAGACACUAGUGAGAUAUAAACUCACUCAGACUAACAGAUAAACAACGAGGCUCUAAUCCUAAAAGGAAAUGAUGUCUCAAAAAUGCCUCUGCAGCCACACUAAGGAUCCAAGCUCCCUCUAAGACGUCUCCAAAAGUGACUCGAAGAUCAAUGUCAAAGAUGAGUAACAGUCGAACCACCCUAGAGUACAAGAAAGAAUGUGCCCGAAGGAAACUACCCUAUGUGAACUACAUGAGAAGACUAGGUGUAGGGUGCCCAACAACAUGACAAAAAUACGCAUCACGGAAUCAAAGAACUAUGUCAUGUGCAAUGGAAUGGGAAGUCUAGAAGAGCAAUGACGAUCAAGCAAUGAGCUCCAGGUAACUGAGUGAGGAAAAUGACUCUGAAAAACCAAAAUGGAGGAAUAAUGGCGACUCAGAAUGCAAAGAAGACUCAACUAUGCAGGUGUGACUCGAAGGUGAACAAGACUCAACUCAAUCCGACAAAACAAUGACCGAUCGAUAUAGGUGCGGUCCCGACUCAAACUGAACUGAUAGGAAGAUGGUCGAUCGAUAUAGGUGCGGCCCAGACUCAAACUGACGUGAUGAAUGACCGAUCGAUAUAGGUGCGGUCCCGACUCGAACUGAACUGAUAGGAAGAUGGCCGAUCGAUAUAGGUGCGGCCCCGACUCAAACUGACAUGAUGAAUGACCGAUCGAUAUAGGUGCGGUCCCGACUCGAACUGAACUGAUAGGAAGAUGGCCGAUCGAUAUAGGUGCGGCCCCGACUCAAACUGACAUGAUGAAUGACCGAUCGAUAUAGGUGCGGUCCCGACUCUAACUGAACUGAUAGGAAGAUGGCCGAUCGAUAUAGGUGCGGCCCCGACUCAAACUGACAUGAUGAAUGACCGAUCGAUAUAGGUGCGGUCCCGAAACUAAACUGAUAGAAAGAUGGCCGAUCGAUAUAGGUGCGGCCCCGACUCAAACUGACAUGAUGAAUGGCCGAUCGAUAUAGGUGCGGUCCCAGAAACUAAACUGAUAGGAAGAUGGCCGAUCGAUAUAGGUGCGGCCCCGACUCAAACUGACAUGAUGAAUGACCGAUCGAUAUAGGUGCGGUCCCAGAAACUAAACUGAUAGGAUGAAUGACCGAUCGAUAUAGGUGCGGUCCCAGAAACUAAACUGAUAGGAUGAAUGACCGAUCGAUAUAGGUGCGGUCCCAGAAACUAAACUGAUAGGAUGAAUGACCGAUCGAUAUAGGUGCGGUCCCAGAAACUAAACUGAUAGGAAGAUGGCCGAUCGAUAUAGGUGCGGCCCCGACUCGAACUGAACUAAUAGGAAGAUGGCCGAUCGAUAUAGGUGCGGCCCCGACUCAAACUGACAUGAUGAAUGACCGAUCGAUAUAGGUGCGGUCCCAGAAACUAAACUGAUAGGAUGAAUGACCGAUUGAUAUAGGUGCGGUCCCAGAAACUAAACUGAUAGGAAGAUGGCCGAUCGAUAUAGGUGCGGCCCCGACUCAAACUGACAUGAUGAAUGACCGAUCGAUAUAGGUGCGGUCCUAGAAACUGAACUGAUACGAAGAUGGCCGAUCGAUAUAGGUGCGGCCCCGGAUUCUAACUGAACUGAUAGGAAGAUGGCCGAUCGAUAUAGGUGCGGCCCCGACUCAAACUGACACGAUAAUGACCGAUCGAUAUAGGUGCGGCCCCGACUCGAACUCAAACUGAUAAGAUGAAUGACCGAUCGAUAUAGGUGCGGUCCCGACUCAAACUGACACGACGAAUGACCGAUCGAUAUAGGUGCGGUCCCGACUCGAACUGAACUGAUAGGAAGAUGGCCGAUCGAUAUAGGUGCGGCCCCGGACUCUAACUGACACUGAUGAUGAUGAAUGACUUGGUCAAGUGACCCAAAACCAAAGGAUGACUCAGAUAAUAAUGCAAACAAACUCGAUCGGAGGGGAUAUGCCCCAGUAUGACAACUCAUGCGGAUCGACAACUAGGUCGACAGAUAAUGAAGCCUGUGAAAGGUCCGAUGAUCUCGGAGAAGGAGGGUAUGCCCCAGUAUGCAACUCAAGGGAAUCAACAACUAGAUCAAAAGUGAGUGAAACCGGUGGAAGGUUCAAUGCUCUCGGAGAAGGGGUAUGCCCCAGUAUGCAAUGACGAACAGACAGAGAUGCAAAAUGCCUCAAAACUACUGUACUCUGAAAUAUGCUCAUCCAUCAUGUAAUGAAAAUGUCCAACCUCAAAUAGGUAAUGCCAAACAGGACUAUGUAUAGUGAUACCAUGCUGACUAAACAGAAAUGACUGACGAAUAAAAACAAUGAUGACCAAUGCCCGAAAUGUGAAAAACAAGCAAAUCAACACUCAACAUGCCAACUGUCAAAAUGAAAGCAUCAACACUAAUAAGUCAGCAAUCUGUCAGGCCCUGCCAUCAUGGAAGAUGUUGAACCUAAAGUCCAAAAGAUAUAUGAAAGCACAACCAAGGUGAUCGAGGACUGAUCUACAUCUCCUCAUAAUCGAGAAAGGGGUGAGGUCAUGUGCCAUGGUAAGAUGUGAAGGAUAAAAGAAGGUGAUGGUCAGGCUCCGGUAUGAGAGAAGGUAUGAAAGUAUCCAUGGUGAAACGUCUGAGUAUGAAAUGAAAGGUAGGGAGAUAUCCGAGAUCAUCCAAGUAUGCCGAGAAGACUAAACCCAAGGUGUCGAUAACUCCAUAACCCAUCGUAAGUAGCAAUCACAAACAGGAAGUCAAGCCUCAAUGUCAAAACCUCCAACAAGGUGGCUAUGCCCCAGUAUGCAAUGAGGACAACAUGAAAUAAUCCAAUGAUCUCCCUAUCACUCGUCAGGUGCUCCAAUGUCAAGAACCAAUAUGAUCUCCCUCCAAAAGAUGGACAUGCCCCAAUGUAAAGGAUCCAAAUAGGGUGGCUAUGCUCCAAUGAAAAAUGCUCUCCGUCCCGGCUAUGCCCCAGUGUAAAGUAGUGUAUCCGAGUCAGCAAAUCAAUCAACCUCUACUCCCGGUGCCAAAACGGAAACAUCUCAACAUAAUCCAUAUGAAUCAGAAUCCCCGGGCUCCAUGAAUGUGAAUGCGGUGGCUAUGCCCCAGUAUAAACCAACUGAAGUGACUAUGCUCCAAUGACCAAUCAAAGUCCAUCACCAAUGAGAGGGCUACGCCUCAAAUAAAAUCGUCAUCUCAAAAACCAACCAUCGAUGAGUAGAGUGUGUCCCAAUGCAGAGUAUCGAGUAGAGCGACCGUAUCUCCAAUAAAAACGCCCUCUGAAAUGGCUAUGCCCCAGUAUAGGGUCAUCCCACAACUCCUGAUCCAUCGUAAUCCAAGUGAAGAAGCGAACUGACUAUGCCUCAGUGCAAGGCACCAUCCAGAAAGAAAAUGUCAUCAAUGAGCGGGGUAUGCCCCAGUGUAGAUAACGUCGCCUCUGAAAGUCCAUCACCGAUAAGAGGGGUAUGCCCCAGUGUAAAUCAUCAUCUCAACUCCACAUCCAUAAUGCUCUGAGAGAUAAUCACCGACCAAGCUCGAGUAUUGCCCAUGUGUGAGCCGUCAAACACAAUGUGAAGUAAUGGCCUCAGGGUGGUCUUCAGACAUGGGACGUAACGUAGGGCAAGGUAAUAGGGUGAAAGAAACGAAAGGAAACUAGGCUAAAAAAUCCCAAUGAUACAAUCCCCAUACCCCUCGUGCAUGAUAUGCAAUGCGCAGAAAAUGUCAUGAGUCCCGGACCUAGGGGUCCCCACACGAAAAGUGAUGAUAAAUGAAUGGAUACAUCGAAUAAGCAAGAAUAAAGUGUGGAUGCUGAACCCAUGUCAAACAUCAAACAGAAUGAGAAUAGAAUGAGAUAAGAUGAAAUGGAGUGAAACGGAGGGAUAAAAUAAAGAUGAAAGAAGGCGAAGAGAUAGAAAAAUGAGUGAUGGUCAACCUGCAUCAAAGCAUGGAAAGUAGUCACAUCCGAAAUAGACGGAAUGAUGGAUAGAGCAAGGAUCCAGAGAUACAGAAGAAAAGUCGCUCGCAUCUCUCACAAAAAACGAAUGGGCGAAUCAUACUCUCACCCAAAAUAUACAUCAAGAUGAAUCUAAAAAAUAAGCUUUCAUACGAGCUCUCUCUAUCAUAUGAACUCAAUGAAACAACUUGGCACGUCCAUACACAUGCCUGAUGAAGAAUGAUACAAUGAAUAAUGCGCUAUCAUCAAUCAAUUUUUUUAUUUUUUUAUUUUAUUAUUUUUUUAUUUUUUAUUUUUUUUUUAUUUUUUUAUUUUUUUUAUUUUUAUUUUUUUUUUAUUUUUUUAUUUUUUUUAUUUUUUAUUUUUUUUUAUUUUUUUGCGCGUACGCUGAUCAAUAGUGAAUGAACUCCCAUGAAAAUACAUACCCAAAUGAAUAAACUCUCUCCAUGUACUGAUGUAACAUGAAUCCUCACUAACAAGACAACCUCUCAAAUAAGAUCCCUGGACCAUUGCCCAUAAGGCGAACGGGGGAGGAACGUGACAAUCCUCCAUGCAGUGACGUGUGAAAAACCACCACUCAAGGUGAAACACGGAUAAUGUCGAGUAAGCGAUGAUGAAAGAAAAGACAGAGAACGAAUAUCACAAGUGGUGAUAUAUGAUAUAAGAAAAAUAGUGAUGAAAUGAUGUCCAAGUGGAAAAUAUCACAGUGAAAAGUGAAGAAUGAUGCCUGAAUAUGUAUGUCAGGUUUGGAACUCAUGACGUAUCCAAUCAUAGCAUGCAAGCGCUACAGGGUCCCUAACCCGGUGUAAUAGGUAAAUGAGGUGAUGAAAGAAAAGGCUAUGUGCUCGUGUGAAGCUCAAAGGGCUAGCAAUGGAUAACUCUAUAUGUGAGGGUGAUAAAGUAAAUAGGCUCAUGAAAUGAUGGCCACCCAUCCUUUAACCACAACCUCGAACAUCGUGCUUUUGAGAUCUCACAUGGUCAAUACUAAAGACUGGCAUCCAUCCAACAUAGUCAUGGCGACUCAUCUGAAAUCGCGUAAAAGCCCUCACUGAUGCUCUGUGAUAACCGUCAAUAUCCUCGGAUAAUCACCUCACUCUAUCAUCAUAAUCCACUCACCAUCGUCUCAUAAAAUCACCAUCUCUAAUCAUCCCGACUCUCUGAAGUCAUGUGCAAUGACUCAAAUCUGGAUGCUCCAUGACGUCUCCUCUACCUCAACAACAUCGUCAAACAAUCAAGCCACUCUCUCAUCAUGAUCCAUCUAUCAUCGUGUAAAGCUCACCUCGGGUCUAACCAUCUCGGACUCUACCUGGUCAGAUCCAUGAAAUGAUGGAAAGGAUAGGCAAUGGUACUGUAGCCUGAUAAGGCGAACAGGGAUGGUAAAGUCGUACAGUAAUACCAAAGGGUGGUGUCAUGUCAGGCUCAAAAUGGGUAGGUCAUCAAGUCUGAAAAGGCUAAGGUAUGGAUGUGGGUAUGGUACCACUCUAAUCAGAAGGUGAAAUGGGUCACAGCCUCAAACUCCCUAGGUCGAUCUCCUGAUCCUAGGUCAAUAGACUCAAUAUCCUCCAUGAUAGGUCAGACCCAAGUGAUCGUGAUGUAAGUGAAAGAUGUAUCAUAUCGAAAGCAUAACACGCAUCAACGCAAGAUAUGUAAAACACACUCCCGAGAAAAAUGCCACAAUACUCAAGAUAAAAUAUCAUAUCACUAAAUGAACCAACGAGUACAUCAUGUGUGAAAUGGUAAAGGACUACAAACAACUGGACUCUCAACAUGAAACUAAAAACAAUGACCCUAAACCGAAAACAGGACUCAACAAAACAAAAACAACUCUGAUGAACUGAAAACUGGACUCAACAAAAUGGAAAUGAGUCUGAUGAUGACCAUAAUCAAAAUGAGAAAUGCUCUGAACUGAACUGCUACCAAGUGAUGUACCCAUGUCGACUGACCUAAGUCCUCAUCCUGGAAGAUCCCAGAGCGCCAUAUGCCAACAGUACCAUCAACAUCCAAAUCGGUCUACUGAAGACCAGGAGGAGGAGGAACUGCAUGUGUAGAAUGUGUAGGCAGGGGAUUGGUGGUCACACUUGGCCUAGCCAAGUCAACCACCCCUGAAUCGAUCAAAUCCUGUAUCGCAUGAUGGAGUGCUGAACAACGCUCAGUAUCGUGCCCCGGAAUCUGAUGAUACAAGCAAUGCUCAUGUAAACGGAAAUGAGGAGGAAUAGGAUGGGGCAAAGGCCUCGGUGCCAAAGGAACAAUCACUCCAGCGUCUCUGAGCUUCUCAAAAGCUCUAGUCAAAGUCAUACCCAACGGAGUAAACUGUCUCGCGGGCCUCUGUGCAUAUGGCCUAGGUAGCGGGUGAGUAGUGGCUCUCGGAUGUGGUGGUCGCGGCUGCACGCUAGUCUGAGCAAUGUAAGGCUCCUGAGCAUAAUCCAACUGAUACUGAUACUGUGGAAGAGAGAAAGGAGCUCUGACUGUAGGAGGCCUAUAAGCUGAGUGAAGCGCGGGCCUCCGGUGCUGAUAGCUAAUAACACCAACCUCUCCAGAUCUACCCAAUGGUCCAAUCAGCUUCUUCCCCUUACUGUCAGGGGAAGAAGUAGUAUCUGUCCAUAAUCCUCGAGCAAUGGCCUCCUCAACACUGAAAGCUGCCUGAACCAAACUCCUGAGAUCCUGAAAUGGGAUGCCCACAAGACGUCUCGCGAACCUCGGCUGUAGGUUCCGAAGAACCAUAUCAAUCUGAUCCUGCUCCUUAGGCCGGUCUACCAUACCAGCCACCUUUGCCCUCCAACGAGUGACAAAUGAAGAAAUAGACUCCUCUGGCCUCUGUCUAGUGGCCUCCAACUCUCGUCUGGAUACAUCAAUAUCGGCACUGAAAGCGAACUGAGUCAGGAACUCACGAGCCACGUCUUCCCAGGUGCGGAGUCUCGAAGGCUCAACUGAAGCAAACCAUCUCUGAGCUGCUCCACUAAGUGACAUCGGGAAGAGGGCCACCAACUGCGCAUCAUCUAUACCAUGUGCUCUCAUGACCGUGCUGUAUAGCCUCAAGUGGAUCUUGGGACAACCAAUCCCACUGUAACGCUCAAUGUCUGGCAUGCGAAACUUGGCGGGCAAGCUAGCCGCCGGUAUGCCAUCCCUGUCAUCCCAAGUCAAACCUCCGUCCUGCAAUCUGAUCUGUCUCAUCAUGGACUCAAGCCUCUCAACCUUGGCCUCCUGCUCGGCCAAUCGAGUAUCCUCAAUAGUAGGAACCAUGGGAGGCGGCACUGUGACAGUAGGUGGUGGAAUGGUCUCAUAAUGAUCUGCCAGAUGGAACGGAGUACCAAGUGAAACCCUAGGUGGACGAGUCUGUGCUGUCUGAGAUGCAUGAGGAACUGUCUCAUCAAUGACCAUGCCAACCGGCUGGGGAUCCUGGCGAGAACUCUCUAUCUGAUCCAAGCGCUUACUGACUCCGGCCAUGAACUCCUGAAUGGAAGCGAGUGUGGAAGCUAGCUCGUCUGACAUCUCAACUGAACUGUCUGAACUCAAAUAUGAAUCUGAUCUGAUCAAUCGUCCUCCAACUCUCCUCCAAGAAUGUGACUCCAGACUCAACCGACUCCUAAACUGACUUCCUACAAUGCAAACAAGAUGGAUGAAGGACAUGAGAUGAAACUCUAAAAGACGACAGUACAACAUACAAGCACAUGGUCCAGAGGUAGCAAUCAGAAAUCUGGAUAUAUGACGAGAACUCUGGAGUCAUAAAGGUGUCCACUGUGAGAUGGCUACAAAUGUGACUAGAGAAUUCCUAUCAAUAAUCCAAGAUGAAAGAGGUGUGAAAAACACACUAUCACGAGAUCGGUACUCCAUCAAUAAACAUAUACCUUUAACUCAACUUCCAACCCAAGCUCCAUAAGAGAAAAAAUGAUAGGGUGAUCAAGGCGAAUCUCUCGAAAAAAGUGUGGAUGUGAAAAUGCGCCUUUCACCUUUCCGUAAUGAAAAUAUGAGCAUCGGGUUGAAAAUUGAAUCAAGUAUCCAACGAAGAAAUGAAGUACUCAGCCCGUGAUAGGUGUACAAUGCAAAAACAAGAUGAUCAAUGAACAUAUCCCAAAGUAUCAAGUGAGUGACAACAAAGUGAAGGGGUGUGUCGAGCCAAGAAAUGAGAACGAAAUCCCUAGGGAGAAAACAUGCUAAACUCCUUGAGUAAAAAAACAUAAUCUAAGGUGACAAGGCGAAAGGUGAUCCAACCGAUACUCAAACAAAUAACGAUCUCCGAGUACUCUCAACUGGAGACUAAAAAGAGGGAAUACUGGAUCCGAACUGUAACUAAAGAGGCUCCGAAGGCCCUCAGAUGCACCCACGUGUGAGGAAGGAAGUCCUACUCGAAGGAUCUACGGCUCAACCUACGAGGUCAGGUGGCUCUAAAUGGAUAUGGGUGGACUUUAAAAAAAUCCCGAGCAGAAGCGAUCAUACCCUCCAGCGGUACGCAACCCUCUGCACACCUCAGAAAAGACGGGGCGCUUCCAUGCAAGGUGGACAUCGCAUCCACACAUGCACUACCUCGACAUCCCAAGGGGUUUCCUAUGGUGAAUUCUCUCAAACUCUCAACGCUCAAUAGUCAACUAGAGUGCACAGUAAUCGGUGUGGGUGCAUCCGAAACCCUAAGAAGAUAAAGCAGAAGAUGAGACACACUGGUCGCAUAAAUAUCCAUGAAACCUAGCUCGGGGCUAUACAGGUCUUCAAUGAUCGGACUCUAAUCGACAACAAUGCGCCGCUCGCCUCCAGAAUGCUCCCAAACAUCAGUAUAGCCCGUCGCUGGACCCUACUCCUAACCUCUAUCUCGGUCAGAGUACAAGCACACACAAGGCCUCACACUUGCAAAAGUGAGAACCGUAAUGAAGGAAGUGACCGAGACUAGAGGGUGGGAGACAAGGAGAUAGAUAUGCGACCCACAUAAACAAACGGCACACAAUCAUGCAAAAGGAGGGCAGUCAUGCGACACGCAAUCAAACAAAUCUCAGAUAUAUCAUCAAUGUACACACACAAAAUAAGCGAGAAUACGACGAUCAGAUGAAUAAUGAUACAAAGACAACACGCUUAAAGAUGAUCAAAAUAAUAUACCAACAAGUGGAUCAGCAUGUCGAGUCGAAUGAUAUACAGUGGUGAGUGUAUGCAUGUGAAGUGAUUAGAACAAUCAUGGCAAAAUCAGAGUAAAUGUGCUAAGCAAUGCAAUAUGAUCAAUCAAUAUAAAUCAGCAAUGUCGAUGUAGCAAACAUAUAUAAUCAGUGAAGCACGAAAAAUCACGGCCUCAGAAGCCUCAAUCAGGAUAAAAUCAAUCAUCAUAAUCAACAUGUCAAAAGUCUCGAACAGAUAUAAAAUCCGAGUAUACAUCAAAUAUCCUCAAUGUGCAAUCAAGAAAUGGGUACCCAUUGAUCGUCCAAUCGAAUGCCACGUUUGCUUCAUUCUAAGUUCAAGCUUGACCCUCUAAAAAAAAUCCCCAGUGGAGUCGCCAUUUUGUGGACCCCGCGUUUCGAUCUAUCUCAAUGCGUUUCCCACUCAAUGGCGAGCUCGAUUUUUAUUUUAUUAGAAAAAAUGAUUUUUAUCGAUUAAGAAAAUGACUUGGAGUCGCCACUUAUUUUUGUUUUAUUAUUAAAGGGUAAACAAAAUAAGAAAGAAAAACCCUAAGUGUGACUCCUUAUUUUGGAAAAGGCGGUCUGUGAAAAACCGGAUCGGGUUCGGGGGUCAGGUUACUUCUCGGGAAGGUAUGGUAAAGACCGUAGCACCCCUCUAAGUCCCUAAAGUCGGGUCUCUACUAAUAAAAUGAAGCUGACAUGGCAACCAAUGAGAAAGUCAAUGAAUACCUAGGACGAAUCAUGCACAUACGAGAAUUAAAACAUGCAAAUAAAAUGACUAGGAUGCGAGUGGAUGUGUACCUGGACCGUGAACGAUCAAUGCGCUAUCAUAAAACAGGGUUAGUGAGCAAUGAACAAAAUAUAAUUAAGCGCAUAACAUGGAACAAAAUAAAUCAAACACGCACGAUAAGUAAAUCAAUCAAAACAAUCAAUCAAUCGUCAAUUCACAUAUGUGGGGGCCCCACCAAAGCCCGUUUAUUUUUGCAUGAAUNNNNNNNNNNNNNNNNNNNNNNNNNNNNNNNNNNNNNNNNNNNNNNNNNNNNNNNNNNNNNNNNNNNNNNNNNNNNNNNNNNNNNNNNNNNNNNNNNNNNGGAAAAUGGGAGGUUUUAGGCCUUAAAAAUAAAUCUAAGGAUGAAAUUCGAAAGGCAAAAAUUGUUGAAAGGAUUUGGAAAUUGGCCAUUAUAAAAAAAAAACCAUUGGAGGGAUUAUUAUUAAAAGAUGUUUCAGGAAAAUUAAUUUGAAAAUCAUAGGAACAGGAAGUGGGUGAUUAACACGUGGCUUCCGAUUUACUGCCAUUGCCACUAUACCCACCAUAGUCACCAAGCCCAUAGUCAAUGCCUCCAAGUGCUCGGUAGGAAAUAGGCCCAAAACACUAAGACGUGCCCCAGAGUUAGAGAAGAUGCUGGAGAGAUCUUUGAUCAAGCCACUUCACCAGAUUUAUGGCGAUAGAUCUUUCCGAAGACAUGAAGAACGGUGACAAAGCCGAUAAAGCAAAGGUUCAACACGAGAACCACCGUUGGAGUAAUCUUCAAGCCCGGAUCGUCAUCGGUGUAGAACAAGAGCAUGUUGCUCUCGCUGCUGCCACUGCCGCACCCUCCGGAGCUCUAAAACGACAGUGCGUGUGAGGAGAUUGACAACGACACCGUCGAAGACAACCGGUCUACAUAACCCUCCAACAAGCUUCGUCCUGAAGCUACUUCCGCCGCGGUGCUUUCCACAUGUCGUCCAUACAUCCAGUGACCCGAAUCAGCGCCACCUCGUCCUCAACUCCAACGCAGCUGAAUCUCACGCUGCUGUCCAGUUUGACCUGCGUCGGAAAGAACGACGUUGGGGGCCACGCAGGCAUCGACGGUGAUCUUCGGGAGCCACUGCCCCAGGGGAAUUAUCCUUCUCCGUCCUUUUUUUGAGCCUUCAACACUUUCUACAGCAAAAGUCUCCUCAACUUUUGAUGGCCCCCACAUGUACCAGUUGAGGCUAUUUAUGAAUUUCAUGGUUCAGAUUUGCAUCCAUCUUAUCUGAUUAUUCAAUCUGUUCUAGCUUGACAACGUCCAGAUUAAGCGUCCACUUAUUGUCUUCUGAUGAGUCAAGCUAUAAUAACCAGAUUUCUUUGUCGAUGUCUAUUGAUUCGGAUACCUUCAGCACAACAGAUCAGAAAAACUUGUUGCCUCAACUAUAACCUCAGUGUAGCUGGAGGCUCAUAAUCCUGCAGCUUAUUGAAAAAAAGAUCCAGUGACUAAUCGAAAAACCUGCCCAUCAUAGGUCCGACCAGUUCUUCCUCUAAGCUACUCAACCUGAGACUUGGAGACAUAGGCAAGCUCUGGAGCUUCCUUUUUCCGAUUACUGGAAGCUCACAGAGUGACCUUCCUCAUUUCUUCAUUCUACAACAGCGAACUCUCUUUCUCAAAAGCACCCCAAUCCAAACGGCCAAAUUCAAAACAAGAUGUCCAAUACUCCAAAAGAACACCAAAAAAACAGAGAAGAAAGUGAAGAAAACAGAGUGCGUGCAAGAGAUGAUAAUACCAUUAAACCAAACUUUACUUCAUGAAGAUCGGAGAGCUUAAAACAAUCUGGUGGGUUAAGUGAAUGGUUUUAACACAUAAACAAACAACAUCGACACCAUGUGACUCACACAGGAAUAAACAAAAAUCAAGCAAGCAGGGAUGAAAACAUGCUUAAGAUCUUAAACAGUCAAAAUGAACAUUUCAAAUAUUAGGAAAGGAGUCAAAUAUGGUUGUGAAAAGGAAAAACCUGAAGUCGAAGACAACCAAAAUUUGGAUGACUCCUUUUCUCUCUGUGACUGAAAUCCCACCUUCUCGUUCUACUCCCUGAGCUGAGAACUCUCCUCUCAACUCCAAACUCACUCCAGACCAGCCUCUCUUCACUCUCCCCCUCCUCUCUGACUCUCUCUCUCUAGCUAAACUCCUCUAAGCCUUCCCUCCUCCUCAAAAUAUCUCUAACGGACUCUGAAAAGCACUCCCUACUCCAGCUGCCAGAGACGCUCCUCCAUUCACGGCUUCCAGAUUCCCAUGCAACGUGUCCCCUUUUGAUUGGCUUCCCAAACCACUAUUAUGAUUCUCUCAUGGCUUCUCAGGUGUUGACACGUGGCUGACCAAGGCUCUUCCACAUGGUAAAAUUGAGCUGCAAGGUAGGAAUGACCUAAAAGGGGGUCUACACAUGUCUUCGUAUAUCUUUAUCCAAUUUAAAUAGUUUUUAUAUAUUUAUCUUUAUCCAAUAACUUUUUCCUCCCCUAACCCAAAAUAUUUAUAAUGAUAUUCUUAAUAAUUUUUUUAUUAUAUAUAAAAAAGUCUAAUAUUACAAUAAUAUAUUAAGAGUCCUCGCUCAAUUACAAUACUUAAUUUUUUUCUAAGCAAUUAAUUCUCUAUUCCUCUGAUUUUUUUUUGCUUUUAACUACCAUUGGGCAAUUACAUUUUUAAAUACAAUUUUCAAAGUACACGUUUAUCAUAAUUAUAUCUUUAUCCAAUUUAAAUAGUUUUUAUAUAUUUAUCUUUAUCCGAUAACUUUUUCCUCCCCUAACCUAAAAUAUUUAUAAUGAUAUUCUUAACAUUUUUUUUAUUAUAUAUAAAAAAAUAUAAUAUUACAAUAAUAUAUUAAAAGUCCUCAACUCAAUUACAAUACUUGUUUUUUUUCUAAGCAAUUAAUUCUCUAUUCUUCCGAUUUUUUUUUGCUUUUAACUACCAUUGGGCAAUUACAUUUUUAAAUACAAAUUUCAAAGUACACAUUUAUCAUAAUUAUAUCUUUAUCCAAUUUAAAUAGUUUUUAUAUAUUUAUCUUUAUCCAAUAACUUUUUCCUCCCCUAACCUAAAAUAUUUAUAAUGAUAUUCUUAACAAAUUUUUUUAUUAUAUAUAAAAAAAUCUAAUAUUACAAUAAUAUAUUAAGAGUCCUCGCUUCCUUCCAAUUUUUUUUUUGCUUUUAACUACCAUUGGACAAUUACAUUUUUAAAUACGAAUUUCAAAGUACACGUUUAUCAUAAUCCUGUUAAGAAAUAUAAAGAUAUAUCUUUAUCCAAUUUAAAUAGUUUUAUAUAUUUAUCUCUAUCUGGUAAUUUUUUCCUCUCCUAAUUUAAAAUAUUUAUAAUGAUAUUCUUAACAAUUUCUUUAUUGUAUAUAAGAAAAAAUUAAUAUUAUAAUAAUAUAUCAACUGUACUCGCUCCAUUACAAUACUUAAUUGUUUUCUAAGCAAUUAAUUCUCUAUUCUUCCAAUUUUUUUUGCUUUUAACUACCAUUGGAGAAUUACGUUUUUAAAUACAAAUUUCAAAGUAUACGGUUUAUCAUAAUCUUGUUAAAAAAUACAAAACAUGUUCUUUAUCCAAUUUAAAUAGUUUUUAUAUAUUUAUCUCUAUUUGGUAAUUUUUUCCCCUCCUAAUCUAAAAUAUUUAUAAUGAUAUUCUUAACAAUUUCUUUAUUGUAUAUAAGAAAAUUUUAAUAUUAUAAUAAUAUAUCAACCGUCGCUCCAUUACAAUACUUAAUUUUUUUCUAAGCAAUUAAUUCUCCAUUCUUCCGAUUUUUUUUUUGCUUUUAACUAGCAUUGAGCAAUUACAUUUUUAAAUACAAAUUUCAAAGUAUAUGUUUAUCAUAAUCUUGUUAAGAAAUACAAAACAUGUCUUGGUAUAUCUUUAUCCACUUUAUAUAGUUUUUAUAUAUUUAUUUCUAUUUGAUAAUUUUUUCCUCUUCUAAUCUAAAAUAUUUAUAAUGAUAUUCUUAACAAUUUCUUUAUUGUAUAUAAGAAAAAUCUAAUAUUAUAAUAAUAUAUCAAAGUCCUUGCUCCAUUACAAUACUUAAUUUUUUUCUAAGCAAUUAAUUAUAUAUUCUUCCAAAUUUUCUUUUCUUUUUUUCUUUUAACUACCAUUGGACAAUUACAAUUUUAAAUACAAAUUUCAAAGUACACAUUUAUCAUAAUCCUAUUAAGAAAUACAAAACAUGUCAUAUAUGUUGUCUCUCAUUUUAAUAUUUGAUAUUAAAAUCAUAUUUAUAAUAAUUGAUUAAUAACAUGAAAAGGAUGUAUUCUAGAAGUCCUAAAAUUCAUUAUUAUCACAUAAAAUAAAUAUAAAUUUAAACUCCAAUUUUUGAAAAAUGAUAUUACAAAAUUAUGAUUUAGAGCUACGAUUGGAUGAUAAUUUUGCAAAAAUUUGUGGAGUAAGAGAUAAUUAUGAGUGUAAACAACUCGUGGAUUUGUAUUUGGAUUUGGAUUCAUCAUAUAUUUAUAUUUUUAGGGUUUUGAUAAAACCCUAAAAAUAUUUUGACUCCGAUUUAAUUAUCUUAAAUUGGUUGGACCUGAAAAUAAAUUGAGAAAUAGGCAGGAAUAGAAAAAUACAAGGCAAAGACGAGCUGUCCCAGUGGCGUGGAAAAAACUUCUUAACUUCUCUGAAUAACUGCCAAAUAUCACGAAGGCCCCAACAAACAUACUAUUAUUACGCACUUUGCUGUUGCAGAGUCGCACCUAAAUUCCUCUCAAAUUCCUGCUUCCUCCACCAAUGGCCACUCUCUCUGCCUUCUCUACUCCUUCUCCUCCAUGGCCAAAUCCUAACCCUAGCUCUGACCCUAACCCUAACGCUAAGUCAGACUUGCCUGAUCAUGAGGAGCGGUCGCAGAGAACCGAACUGGAGGAUGUCGAUUCGCCGCCGAAUUCUCGUCCUACUCAAAACUUUAACCCUAACAUCCAGGAUGGUCGUCUGUCUCCAUCGUCGGUUCCGUCUCUUCUCCACAUCUCGUUCAACCAAGACUACGGAUGCUUCGCGACGGGUACAGAUAGGGGGUUUCGCGUCUAUACGUGUGACCCCUUCCGUGAGAUAUUCCGGCGAGAUUUGGACCGCGGCGGGGGGAUUGGGGUUGUUGAAAUGCGGUUAGUGUCUAAUUUGAUGGCCUUGGUGGGCGGGGGCUCCGACCCUCAGUACCCGCUCAACAAGGUCAUGAUCUGGGACGAUUAUGAGAGUCGGUGCAUUGGCGAGCUCUCGUUUCGGUCGGAGGUUCGAGCAGUUCGUCUCCAGUUGGACCGGAUUGUGGUGGUGUUGGAGCAGAAGAUUUUCGUGUACAAUUUCGCGGACUUGAAGCUUUUGCAUCAGAUGGAGACGAUUGCGAAUCCGAAGGGGCUUUGCGCGGUUUCGCAGGUGGCUGGGUCUAUUGUGCUGGUGUGUCCCGGGUUGCAGAAGGGGCAGGUUAGGGUUGAACACUACGCGUCUAAAAGGACCAAGUUCAUCGCGGCCCAUGAAUCCAGAAUUGCGAGUUUUGCGCUCUCAAUGGACGGGCAGUUGCUUGCGACUGCAAGCUCUAAGGGGACUCUGGUCAGGAUUUACAACACAAUGGAUGGGGUAUUGCUCCAAGAGGUACGUAAUAGUUUUUCUCAUUCAGUGGAAAUUCUGAACUUUUAGUGGAUCAUAUGAAAUAGAGCAUCAAAUUUCUCGUUGAAAUGCAAUCUCUUGUUGAAUAUAGCUAUGGAUUUAUGAAAUUUGGUUGAUUUUGUGUGUGGAACUUGGUGGUUUGGAAAUUUCUUAAUUGCAUAAUUGUGGAUGCCCCGUGUAUGCCUCUCUUAGCAUGCCCUCAAAGCCUAAAUGAGAUUCUAGAACUGGGGAUUGAUAUGGUUGAAAUUUUAGUCUUCAGAAUUAUUUUCAUUUCAUAUUAUUUUGAAUUGACAUUGGUGCCUACAUUUUGAGGUGUGACAAAAUUAUCAUCACUCUUAAUUGAGCAAAUAUGUCUUCACAUGCAUAACCCAGCAUGCUGUAAUUGCUCAUAGAUCCUCUGGAAAGAUUGGGAAAUUUUACAUUGCAAUUCAAUCUGCUGCGCAAUUAAGAAACGUUAGGCUCAGUCCUUUGAAGCUGUCAAGCCAAAUAUGUCAGCUGAAUCUGGCCUAAGCUGAACCGGGAAACCUAAGUGGGUUACAGUGAAUUUACUUCUGAGGUGCCAAGUUACCAUGUUUGGGAGAGAAAAUAUGAACUAUUUGUUAGUUCCUCUACUCAUUUGUUGACUAAUUUUUUUUAUAGGUACUUUCCCCUUCUUUGGUCCCCAGUGUGGGACUUGAACUUGGAACCUCCCACAACCCCACCCCAAACCUUUAUGCUGUUGCAUUGUCCCUGCUGUACUAUUGGGUCAGAUUGCUUUUCAAAGCAGGGCCAGGAUGGACUUGCGUGAAGCCCUGGAUGCAGGCUUGCUGCACUUUGGGCUUGUCUAAAGAAAGAAAUAAAGUAGAACAAAUGUGAUCUUUAAGUAUAAGUAGCCUUAGCUCAGUGGCAACUAAACAGGUUGGAUUUUUUUUUAUCGUCAUUUCAAUUCCUUACACCUACAAUAUGAAGUAGGCAUUAUCUGGUCUCAGGCUGCACAUUGUGCUGAGGCAUGCCCAUACAAAGAUGCAGGUAGAGUUAUGGUCUGAAGAUUUGGGCUGAGUUUUUGUGUCUUCAGGCCAAUUUACAAUCACUAAACUCAUGCAGAACAAUUCAUGGAAAAGGAAACAGAGAAUCGAGGAGAGGUUAUCACUAUACUGCCUGUGUCAUUGACCAUAGGAGGUUUGUUUUGUUCUAUGUUCAUUAAACUUUGAUGACAUUUUUUGUUCUAUGUGGAAUAUCAUGAAAAUGUGGAUUUCUAAAGCAAGAUGUUAGUCUCCAUUUCGAACCAUUACCUCUAAUGCACUGUAUCUGAUCAUGGUUUUAUCACAUGUCAUCCAUGUAAUGAAUCAACUGGGCUUGUCCAGUAUUCUUGAGACAAUUGAUCUACAUAAUCUGUUGCUUAAUUAAUUUGGGGAAUCUACAUAAAUCAAUUCCUGCAUUAGGAAAUGUAAGAUUUUUCUUUUUGGUUUUUUUUUGGGGUUUUAAAGAUAAGAAUGUCUCUACAUGCUCCUUCUGGUCUUGCCAAGUGGGGAACUUUUCUUGUUUCUGCUGGGAAUCCAAAUUUACAAUUAUUUUAUCCUGAACUACUUGUAUUCAUGUUUGUUUAUGCUUUUGAGUUCAUAGCAUUGUAGAUAUAUUGCAAAUAACUGGAUAUCUAAUGCAGUUACGAAGGGGUGCUGACAGAGCAGAGAUCUAUAGUAUGGCAUUCUCUUCAACUGCACAGUGGCUGGUAGUCUCAAGUGACAAGGGCACUGUCCAUGUUUUCAGCCUUAAGGUUAAUUUAGCAUCCCCUGGGAAUGACAAGUCACGUGGUGCAUCUAAUUCCAAUCUGGCAGUAGCAUCAUCCACCUCAUCACUCUCUUUCAUCAAGGGUAAGGCACCUUUUCUUCAGUGUAUAGUUGUCUCAGUGAUAUGCAAGUUCUUACCAAAUUAGUGAUCUUGUGAAAUGAAACUCUCACUUUUUUGUCCCUCAAUACUUUUGAUUUGUGAUUUUCUGUCCCUUGUUUUUUACGCUUUUUUUAUGCAAUUGUUUUUCUUUGCUUCCCCUGCAUCUGUCAUUACUUGUUGCUUACUAGGAAGUAAUGAUGGAGAGUUGAUGAGCAAGACCCCAAGAACAAGAUGCAUUAGACAAUGUCAAUGUAUUGACUGUUGAAGGCUAAUAAUAAAUUGUGUCUUUGGCUUAGAACUUACUUGAAUUCUUACUUACAGGAGUAUUGCCCAAGUAUUUUAGCUCAGAGUGGUCAGUGGCUCAGUUUCGCUUGCCUGAAGGUUCUCAAUACAUUGUUGCUUUUGGUCACCAGAAGAAUACUGUGGUAAUUCUUGGAAUGGAUGGAAGGUAAGUGAGCACCAAGCUCAAAGAGGACAAACUUUAUGUAAUCCAAUAUAACUGCUUGUUACUUUGAAAUUUUCCUAUUGGCAUGCUCAAUUUUGACUUUUUAGAAAGUAUACACAUAUAUUCACCAGACUAUCAUCUGGGCUGUGGUUGGAGGGAAGAGUGGCUUCUACUGAACAACAAGCGUUUUUCAAGUUGCUUGUUGAUCAGGAGAGAGCUGCAGACCAUACAUCACAUGCAGUCAUCAGUCUUAGUAAGCUAUUCAUUGUAGAAACAUCUCCUUCUUUCUAGCAUAGGUUAAAACAUUGCAUCUGGAAGGUUGCAUGAGACAUUUUCUUUGACCACUAUAUUUUUAUUUCCCUGAUUCUUCUUUGCCUGCAACCCAUGUUUUUGCCUCUCUCUCUUCCCUCCAUCAGCCCAUGUUUCUUUUUCUUUUUUGUUUCACAUUCAUCAUAACGUUUUCUGUUAGAAAAGAAACUGGAAAUAAAAUUGUUGAUAUUCACUUGAAUUUGAAUGAUUGAAUGCAGCUUCUAUCGAUGUCAGUUCGAUGCAGUGAGCGGUGGAGAGAUGAUUCAGCUGGAGUACCACAACUUCCUUAAACCUGAAAAUACUAUGUAAUAGGGGCUUGGGUUACUUGUACGUUCUAUUUCUGGGCUAUGUAUAUAACAUUCCCUUUAUGGUUUUUAUCUUGCAUUUUACCCUUACCUAUGGAUGGCUACACAAAUCUAUUGUAAGUAUCUCAGUGUAGAUGGGUCACAAUCUAUAUAUACUGAUUAUAGUCAAUAUGAAAACAAAUUAAAGCAAACUUGUGUAGCAACUGUCUUCAUCCUAUUCAUAGUUUAAUUUCUUCUUUUCUGUGAGAUCUGAGUAGUGGCAUGUGAGAUAACAGCGUGUAAAGUUUCAUUCCAGCCUAGCACACUCUUCUUCAACUUCACCUUAUCUUCUCUUCUUCUUCAGUUUUGAUUUAUUUUUAAUUUAAUAAAAUAAUUGUUUAAUGUAUCAUUCAGGGUUCGGUUGUACAUUUUUUUUUUUAAAGAAAAAAAUGUUUAAGUGAGGGAAUACCAAUGGCAGAGUCCUAAAAUAGCUAGUGACAAGGCUCAGACUUCAAGUCCUCUGUGCUUCCCCAUGCCUUUUAUUUCCCUUUGUAUAUUGGAAAUAUAGCCCCCAAAAAAUCAAAUAUUAAAUGAGGAAGAUAAGAAAGAUGACUUAUCGUAGUAACACAAUGUGACAGAAGGAACUAGUAAAAUAUAAAUUUACUAACUAAAUAAACUAGAUGCCAUGUGUCAAAAAAAUAUUAUAGAUUUUGAAAUUGUUUAUCAGAGAUCUCAUUUCAAAAAAAAAAUUUUUUUUAAGUUAGUGAAUUUCUUCUUUUUUGCAUUUUUUUUUCUUUUUUUUUUUUUAUAAAAAAAAUCCCUCAUUUUUUGCCCUUGGAACUUCAAUCUUGCUUGGUUAGCUUAAUUCAAUGGUUUAGGGGUCAGAAAGAGGUGGUGACCAACCUGCAAAUACCACCCAACAAUGCAAUUAUGCAAGAAGAAGGGUCUGAAAGCCUGAAAGCUUGUUUGAUGAUAAACCCCAAAAAAGCUUUGGAAUACAAAGAGUGUUGGGGACAAGAAAUGAGAACGCAUCUCAAGAUGAAAUCUAAGGUCUCCAAAUUUGGUGCACUGAAAACUGUGAUUUUGACUGACUCACCUCUGACUUUUCUUUCUGCAGCAGCUUUGCCCCCAUCCACCCACCCACCCACAUGCCUACCUCCAUCGUCACACCCCACACACCCCCCCUCUAUACACCAUUUUCAUCACGCAAUCAUAGCUUCUUUUCCUUCCCUGAUAUCCCACAAUCAUCAGAUUCAUCACUCUACCUUGGACCACACACCCCUCCCAAGUAAUACAACUUUUUUUUCCCUUUUUACCCCUAUGAAUAGUCAAAGAAUUUAAUUGUAUGUCACAGACUCACAAUCAGCCAUACAGCUCCAAUGUUUCAGAGAGAAAGAAAAAAAAAAAAAAAAAAAGUACAUGGGUGGAGUGUAGCAUUGGGCCUCUUACAUAGACCAUGUGAUACUGAGUCAUAUUUACCUGACCAAAUGUAUAAAAUAAUUAACAAUCCAGAUUCACAUGGCAUAUAUAGAAAUGAAAAUGGCCCCAUUCAUAAUGUUCCUCUGAAAUUUCAUGAUACCAAUGGUGGGUCAAUAUCUGACCACUAAUUGGGGAUUUAAAACUAAUCUUCUGCCAUUAAUUUACAUCUCCAAUGAAUAAACAACUCUCAUUUUAUCAAAAAGUUUUAUUAUAUCAACUCGAAUAAUUAAAAUCCAUCAACUCUAAAUUAUUUUUUUUUAAAAGAAAAAUAAUUUGAGUGUAUGAAAUUAUUUUUUUAAAUUACAAAUUGAAUUGGUAAUUUACCAAUUCAUUUCCAUUAUAGUUAUGAAUAAAUCAUUUCGUAUACCACUAAAUAAACCCAUGAUCUAAGCCUUGAUUUAAAAAAAAAAAAUUCUAAAGUUGGUAGUGUAUACACAUUCAAAUAUAAUCUAUAUUUUUUUUUUACUUUGAUGCAAUUUAAGAAACAAUUUUUUUUUUCCAAAUAUCAAAACUAUUUUUAUUUUUCAUAAUCUAUAUUUUAAAUUAAUUAAGACUUUAAUUAUAAUUAUUUUUGAAAGUUGAUUCUUCUUUCUUUUUCGCAAAGCUCACAAGAGCAUAUAAUUUGAAAAAUAGAAAAAAUAAAAAAGAAGAAGAAAAACAAGGAAUGUUCUUAAUGAAUUUGUGUAGAAAAUUAUUUUAUAUUCAAUAAAAUUUUAAAAAUACUAAAAUAUUUAAACUUUGUUUCCAACUUCUAAAAAAAAUAAAAGAUGUGAUUACAACAUUGAAAAAUGCUUUCUCGAUUUCUAUUGAAAAAAUAGUAUGAAUUAAAUGGUGUCAAAUAUAUAUUUUUAUGUAUUCUUAUUUAAUCUAAGUCCAUAUUUUUUUGUUCAAUAUUAAGCUACAUUACCUUUUCAUUGUCCAAAAAUUAUUGCAAGCAAGAAUAGUAUUUACCUGUGCCUUUUCUUCUUCAUGAAUUCAAUGUGAACAGUAGAGAAGUCCUUUCUAAAGGAGCGGGGCAAGUUGAUUGAAACAAGAGAAUCGAGGUGGACAGCAACUACACGAAACACCACUGCAUAAGAAGCCAACAAACUAGUAUAUAAAGCCCACCAUACCCUCUUCAUUUGCAGUACCACCUCACCAUCCUCCAUUCAUAUUGCCCAUUUUCACCCACCUCUUUCUCUCUCUUUUUCUAUUUUUUCUCACCUACCCUCCUUCUCUUUCUCUCUGCCUCUCAGUUUCUCAGUCUUUCAAUGGCGCUCAAGCUCCAUGGAAUUCCCAUGUCCACAUGCACCACUCGUGUCCUCACCUGUCUCCAUGAGAAAGGCUUGGAUUUUGAGCUUGUCCCUGUUAAUCUCUUUGCAGGUGAACAUAAGCAGCCUCCUUUUCUUGCCAAGAAUGUGAGUCUCACUUCCCUCUUUCUUUCUAAUCAUCCCUCUUUAUUCUCUUUGAAGAUUUUACUUUUCUUUGGGGUUGUAUAAAUUAUGAUUUUCCUUGGUUUGGGUACAUUGUUUUUAGUGUGCAGUCUUGUCGAUUUGAUUUUGGUCUUGGUUUUGUUAUACAUAUAUGCAGCCCUUUGGACAGAUUCCAGUUCUGGAAGAUGGCGAUCUCACUCUUUUUGGUAAGUCCUCGGUUUUAAUCACUUUCCUCAUAAAAGCUUGAAAUUUGUUGUACUGUACUACCAUCAGGAUUGACAGUUCCUGAGAUUUAUUAGCUGCUUGCUUUUGAACAAAAUUUUGCUUUAAAAAAUUAAAGGAGUUUUUCUUACAAAAUCAUGCUAUUUAGUACAACAUACGAGCUGGGUCUAUGAUACUAUUAAGUAUACUAUUGCCCCAGCCUUACUGAAAAUCCCUAGUCGAUGAAGUUGGGUUACUGAAAUUAUGUAUAUGUACCAGAAUCUAGGGCAAUAACAGCAUAUUUGGCCGAGAAAUACAAGGAAACGGGGUGUGAUCUCUUGAGGCACAAUGACCUCAAAGAAGCUGCAUUGGUGAAGGUGUGGUUGGAGGUUGAAUCCCAACAAUAUCAUCCGGCAAUAUACCAGAUUGUGUACCAGUUCUUCGUGUUGCCUCUACAAGGCAAGACGGCCGAUCAGGCCAUUAUUGAUGUAAAUCUGGAGAAGUUGGGUAAGGUUCUGGAUGUGUAUGAGGCCAGGCUGGGCACCACAAAGUGCCUAGCAGGAGAUUUCUACAGCUUGGCUGAUCUUCACCACCUUUCUUACACUUACUAUUUCAUGAAGACGCCAUGGGCUUCCCUCAUAAACAGCCGUCCCAAUGUGAAGGCAUGGUGGGAGGACAUUUCCUCAAGGCCAGCUUUCAAGAAAGUGGCUGAAGGCAUGACUUUUGGUGAGAAGUGAUCGGUUUCUGAGCAGUGUGGCUCUAUGUUUUGGGGUAAUAUUAAUUGUAGUGGUUGCUGCCUCUUAAUUACGUGUAUUUAAGUGUGAGACCACGUAAUAAUUACUGAUUAUGUGUUAUGAUUUGCCCUAAAUUAAUCAGAAAUGUGGAAUUAUCUGGGGUUUCUCAUUGUGGUAAUUAAUCUGCUUGCAACCAGUUUUUGAAAGGGUUUGAUGCAUUUUUACUCCAUACUUUGCUUUAGCUAGGGUUAUGUUGGUGUCUCUAAGGCAUAAUGCUUCCAUUUUUGAGUCAUUGCAUACUCAGAUCAAAGUUUUCAAGACUUGUAGAAAAUGGGUUUUGGUAUUUUCAUGAAAGAGAAUGAAAGGGCAAAUUUCUUCACAAGGCAUGUAGUAAGGGUUUUCCCUUUCAAUCAGUCUUUUUCCUGAGAAACAAACAGAAUGUAUAUCAUGCCGUGUCAUCCACUGUGACAGUUUUCCUCUGAAGAGUUUUACUGCAGUACUUCCUAUUUAUUCCCAUUUUUACUUCCCAAACGAGGUAAACACGUACUGUACUGCAGCUCUGGUUAUUUUCAUCAUCCUUGCUUGUCCAAAGCAGCUUCACUCUUUGAACCUAUUUUUAUUGUUAUAUAUAUAUAUAUAUUAGGUCAAAUUAAUCUUCCAAUUUUCUAACUCUAAGCCCUUGCAAAGAGUUUUUGUAGUAUCAUAUGUAUCUACUAUCAGUCAAGCAGAAACUGGAUAAUGUUCUAUAUACGCUUCAAUAAUUAUGGAUCCAGCAAAGGAGAUCUUUUGUUAUGCUACGGGUCUCUACUAAAAUCUGAGGCUGGAACCCACUUCAAUUAUUCACUCAUUUUGUUCUCAUAGAACCUUCAGCCAUGUGACCCUCACCCUCCAACUAACUUUCAACCACAUCUACCACCUUUCUUUCCUUUUUAUUUUUAUUUUUUAGUUUUGACCUAAUUCCAUCUAACUCUCAAAAUGUAUUCUAAAUCAUGCAUCACAGUCUCAAAAUAUAUGUAGGCCCUUCUCUCUAGAUUCUUGAUUCUAUAGUCUUGUACAACCCAAAUUUCUUAGACUCUAGUCUGAAUAAGCUUGAUAGACAUGAUUGUGCUUAUUAUUUAAUAAUUUAAGUUUUUCUUAUAGUAAUUAAUAGUUUAAUAUGAUAUAAUAAAAUUUCUUAUCUUAAUUAAUUUGUAAAAUUAUCUAGAUGAGAUAAAUAGAUAGUCCUAAUUUUUAACUCCAAAAAUUGAUUUUUUUUCUCAAUUAUAAAUUUUCUUAAUCCAAUGCGAGAUUCAAAUAUCAAAAUAAUAGCUAGUUUCAUAAGACACUUGAUGUAUGUGGAAAACCAUCAACAAUCAUGGGUUUGCAAAACAAAGUAAUUACUAAAUCUAAAAGAAUAAGUACACAAUUUUUAUCAAAAUUUGAUACUAUCUUCUCCCAAGGGUCUUAUGUUGGCACAUAUUUACACUUGUUUUCAUGUUUGAGAUGCAACACCUUAUACCCUUUAGGAAACUCCUCAACUACUUGAUAACAUAUAAUCAACCAUUAUGAUUUGAUCUCAAAUAAGAGUUAAGCGAUUGAAAAUGUAUGUGUAGUGAGUUUGAAAUGAGAAUGAUAGAGAAAUUGAACUUUUUCAUUAGACUUUAAAUGAAGCCAUUAAGGAAGAGAUCCACUCCCAAGAUUAAUUCAAGAUGGGGAUAUAAAAAUGGUAUCUUACCAUAAUGACGUCAUCCAUCAAACUUUAUAUGAAGAAGAUAAAUCCAUUGGUUGAACUCUUUAUAGAGGAAUAAUUGACUCUUUAUCAUUAAACAAUAUAUGUUUGUUUUCAACUUGCAAAGAAUCUUAUUCUAGUGCUAUUAAAAAAAUUCUUAAAUAUUUAAAAAGAAUAAUUAAACUAUGUUUGUGAUAUCAUGCAUACUAACUUUGAUCUAAUUAACUAAUUAAAAGUGGAUUUUCCGUUUGUAAAAGUAAUGGAAAUGUAUUAGUGGUACUUAUAAUGUUUGUUUUCAAUCUUACAAAGAAUCUUAUUUUAGUGCUAUUAAAAAUAUUCUUAAAUAUUUAAAAAGAAUAAUUAAACCACGUUUGUGGUAUCAUGCAUACUAACUUUGAUCUAAUUAACUAAUUAAAAAUGGGUUGUUCCAUUUGUAAAAGUAAUGGAAACGUAUUAGUGGUACUUCUAACUUUCUAGGCCACUCACUAGGUUUUGACAUAGUGAUCGAACCUUUGAUCAAUUGAGUUGUCGUGUGCGAUAUAUUUCAUAAUGACUAAUUGAUGCAUGGUGGUUUAGACUUAGUCUUAAUUGGUUGAGGACUUGUUGAUCAGAUGUUAAUCGAUUAAGGUUCUUGCACCUUAAUGAUUACCUCCAAGUGUACUUUUAUUUAAUAGCAUGUUUCUUAGUCCAUCGCCUAAUCCACUAAUUCAGCUAAAAAUGUGCCUAAGGGCUAGUUUCACUCUAGAACUCUUAUUUAAAACUUUCCAACCUUGAGCAAUCAUUGUAGCAAUUUAUUGAAUGGUUCUCUAGAAUACUCUUAUUCCCAAACUCGCAAGUCUCAUUUAGUCUACCUUAAUCUUAGUUUAUUUAUAUAUUUGAUCCUGAAUUUUGCAAACUAGAAAGCUUACUUUAAGAAAUUCACUCUUGUAUUCAUGAAAGAGUAUACUGAAAUGUAAGGGAUCACUUGAGGGCAUUGCAAAGGCAUAUUGGAAGCUUAAAUAUAAGUGUAAAAAAAUUAAAAGCAAAAUCUUAGCACUAGUGAAUGGACCUCAAGCUUAGAUUGAUGAAAGAGAGAGUGGAUAUAGGAGUUAUAGAACCAUUAUAAGUACUUUAUUGCAUCACUCUAUCCCUAUCUCUAUUAAUUUACUUGCACUAUAUUAAUUUUUAUAAUUUGCUUUUUAAUUUUCUAAAUUUUGCAAAAGAACUAACACCGAAUUCUCCUCCCCUCUUGGGUGUCUUCCUCAAGUGAACUCAACUAAUUUGCUUUUCAAUUUUCUAAAAUCAUGAAUCAAUGUAUCAUAAAGCAAAUCCACUAAUUUAAAAAGAAUUAAUACACGGUUUUACCUUAACCAUAUGUUAUCUUCCCCUAAUAAUCUUACACCAAUCAACACAUCCAUUUGUUUUCACGUUUGCAAUGCAAUAUAUGCUCCUUAGUAAACUCCUUAGCAAUUUGAGAUAAUACAAUCAACCAUCAUAAUUUAUCCUUUAAUUAAAGUUAAGUUUUCAGGAAUAUUGGAAACACACAUGAGAAUAACGACAAUUAUUUUCGAGAGCAUGUUGUUUUUUCAAUAUAAGGAGAAAAUCUUACUAAGUCUAUCCAAAUACAUUAAUUGAAAAAAAUAUAGAAUUAGAAAAUCAUGAAAAAAAAAAAACAAAUGGGUCCAAGGUAAACCGAUGUACUCCAUUUUGUCAUGAAUAUUCACUAAAAAUUACUCAACCGUACACAAGCUUGACACACAACAUUUCCCCACUACGUAAUAGCCAUUAAAUCAAAUGAAAAAUAAAAUCUCCAACGUUAAAUUAAGUUGACACCGUGUGCAUCCCUGGUUUCAUAAUGCAGAGUGAGAUGAAACAGAAUCGAUGCACAAGUACUGGGAAAUAAAAUUACCCAUCACGAGUCUAGAAAAUGGGUUCUGAUAUUUUCACAUAAGACAAUGUUGGAGGAUUCUAGGAAAAGAAAGAGAAUGCGGGAAAGGGAAAAUUCUUCACAUGCCUACAGCAUUUACGGCAUAAAGAACGUUUUCUUUCUCAAAGCAUGUGAUCUUUUUCCUGAGAACCAAACAGAUGGCAAAAGCAAGUUCCUGCUUGUCCAAAAAAACCCUGUACUCAUUGGACUAACAAAGCCUGAAUUAAAUAUGGGCCAUUUCGUACCUUCACCAUGGCCCAUUUCUUGUGAUGUUCUUUUGAAUAAAUUUAAGAAAUUACUGUUAGAAAUCAAAUAGAUUGAAUAAAUAUUUUAAUUUAUAAAAAAAUCAUCUUAAAUAAAUAACAAAUAAUAAAUAGGAGAAGGAAAAGAGAAAGUACGUAUAUUUGCAAUGUUACAUUACCUCACCUUAUCGUUUUCCAAAACUUAUAGUAAGCAAGAAUUGGAUUUACUUCUGCCUUCUAUUCUUCAUCAAUACAAUAUGAACGGUAGAGAAGUCCCUUGUUCUAAAGGAGCCGGGCAAGUCGAUUGAAACAAGCGAAUCGAGGUGGCCUGCAACUACCCUAAACAACACUGCAUAAGAAGCCAACAAACUAGUAUAUAACGCCCACCAUACCCUCUUCAUUUUCAGUACCACCUCACCAUCCUCCAUUCAUAUCGCCCAUUUUCACCCACCUCUUUCUCUCUCUCUCUCUCUCUCUCACUCUCUCAGUUUCUCAGUCUUUCAAUGGCGCUCAAGCUCCAUGGAAUUCCCAUGUCCACUUGCACCACUCGUGUCCUCACCUGUCUCCAUGAGAAAGGCUUGGAUUUUGAGCUUGUCCCUGUUAAUCUCUUUGCAGGUGAACAUAAGCAGCCUCCUUUUCUUGCCAAGAAUGUGAGUCUCACUUUCUUCUUUCUUUCUAAUCAUCUCUCUUUCUUCUCUCUGUAGAUUUUGCUUUCUUUGGGGUUGUAUAAAUUAUGAUUUUCCUUGGUUUGGGUACAUUGUUUUUAAUGUACAGUCUCGUCGAUUUGAUUUUGGUCUUGGUUUUGUUAUACAUAUAUGCAGCCC